This 168-nucleotide small nucleolar RNA is filed under the name Alligator mississippiensis (American alligator). RNAcentral's name for it is "Small nucleolar RNA U3". It matches the Rfam family "Small nucleolar RNA U3". Rfam says of the family: Small nucleolar RNAs (snoRNAs) are involved in the processing and modification of rRNA in the nucleolus. There are two main classes of snoRNAs: the box C/D class, and the box H/ACA class. Lineage: Eukaryota; Metazoa; Chordata; Crocodylia; Alligatoridae. The record is from Rfam by way of RNAcentral.
CAGAUUGUACUUCCAGGGAUCAUUUCUAUAGUUGAUAACUAGAGAAGUGUGCCUGAAAGUGAUAGGACUAUUUGGUCCUGGGCUUUACUGUUACCCAUCUCCAUGAUGUUAAUGGUAAUACUUAUGCCAGAUAUUACAGCUUCAAAUUGAAGACCAAAUAUGAAUGGA